GAUGAACGCUGGCGGCGUGCCUAGUACAUGCAAGUCGAGCGAACAGAUAAGGAGCUUGCUCCUUUGACGUUAGCGGCGGACGGGUGAGUAACACGUGGGUAACCUACCUAUAAGACUGGGAUAACUUCGGGAAACCGGAGCUAAUACCGGAUAACAUUUGGAACCGCAUGGUUCUAAAGUGAAAGAUGGUUUUGCUAUCACUUAUAGAUGGACCCGCGCCGUAUUAGCUAGUUGGUAAGGUAACGGCUUACCAAGGCAACGAUACGUAGCCGACCUGAGAGGGUGAUCGGCCACACUGGAACUGAGACACGGUCCAGACUCCUACGGGAGGCAGCAGUAGGGAAUCUUCCGCAAUGGGCGAAAGCCUGACGGAGCAACGCCGCGUGAGUGAUGAAGGGUUUCGGCUCGUAAAACUCUGUUAUUAGGGAAGAACAAACGUGUAAGUAACUGUGCCCGUCUUGACGUUACCUAAUCAGAAAGCCACGGCUAACUACGUG
RNAcentral lists this ribosomal RNA (497 nucleotides) under uncultured bacterium. RNAcentral describes it as "partial 16S ribosomal RNA". It matches the Rfam family "Bacterial small subunit ribosomal RNA", at positions 28 to 507 of the family's 1533-position model. The record is from RNAcentral.